UGUUUUUUUCUGUAUGAUUUCACAAACGAUCGAUCGUGUGACAAUUUCCAGUCCUGGGUCAGGUCAGCUGCAACUGUGUGGCCACAGCAAAGGCAUGAAAAGUCUUGAAAAGCCCCAAGGACGGGGAUUCCUAAGUAUGAACAAAGGAGCAGAGAAUAAACCUCUGAAUAGCAUUUGCUAUUUGGCUUGCAACAGCUAGACACUUUGCCAGGAAAAUUGAAAUUAAUUCUGCCAGCUUCAAGCUCCUUCUGGAAAAGGAACUGCCUUGUCACUGUUGCCCUAUUUGUGGGAGUCUGAGCUGAUCUAAGAUUAGCAAAGGUUACCUUAAGAGUUCAUGGAGGAACCUGAAAUCUUGAAAUCAAAUGCUGAUGCACAACUGCUAAGAUGAAUAGGGAAUAUCCCAUCUGGAUGGCUGCUCAGGAACCUGGAUAAAUGAAGGGUGACCGUGGAGUUCAAGAACAGAUCAGAAGUUGUUCUCAUCUGAAAGAUUGAAGCAAAGCACAGCAAUAAAUGAGCAGUUCUUAGAAA
Pipra filicauda (Wire-tailed manakin) is the source of this 528-nucleotide long non-coding RNA. RefSeq lists it as uncharacterized. The record is from RefSeq and is a predicted model, not a curated record. Lineage: Eukaryota; Metazoa; Chordata; Aves; Passeriformes; Pipridae. The transcript has 3 exons.